RNAcentral lists this unclassified non-coding RNA (279 nucleotides) under plant metagenome. RNAcentral's name for it is "partial contains small subunit ribosomal RNA, internal transcribed spacer 1, and 5.8S ribosomal RNA". The record is from RNAcentral.
UCUCCGUAGGUGAACCUGCGGAGGGAUCAUUACCGAAUAACCAACUCCCAAGGCCUUACGCUAACCGUAACGAUCGUUCACGCCCCAGUGCCGUCACACACAUCUAUCCCACCCCCAUGUGCACCACCGCGGGGGUCCCCCUUUUGUUUGUUUUUAGGGGGUCUUUCGGUUUCAAACAAAAUAAUUAUGCAAAGUAGUAUAUAACUUUUGUCUUUGCUCUCACGCAAUCGAAACAACUUUCAAAAACGGAGCGCUUAGCUCUCACAUCGAGGAAGAACG